GUCUUUCACAUUCAACUUGGCCAUGGUUUCAGCUUGAGACCUUGGACUGCUCUUCAAUUUUUCUUUUAGGACUAACACAUGGGUGAGUGAAAAGGGCUAACUCACUUUCCUGGCUUUUCUGGAGGUACUAGCCUCUGGAGAGGCCCCUUGUCUUGGGAGAGGCCUCAUGGCUAGAACCUUUGCUUAAAUUACCCCUGGAUCCUUUUGCUUGAGCCUCUGAAGCCCUGCCUGGUUUGGAACCGGCCAGAGUAAGUAUCUAUUCUCUCUUAGUUUGUUACUUUUACUCUUUCCCUCUAUUUUAUAAACAAAUUGCUAUAAAGUCAUUCUGAAUUGAGUAAUAAUUUUGAAGACCAUAGUCUUAUCUAACAUGUUUUUGUUUGUUUUUAACUCUUAUAAGCCAGAAAGAAAAAAAAAAGAAGACUGUGAAGCAACAAUCAGGAUAAAGGAGGACUUAUCAGCUUCCACACUAAAUGAUCAAAAGGUGGAUUACUAUCUAUUUAACAUCAAGGAAUGCAGUAUACAGGAUGAAGAGAAUCAGCUCCAGUGAAUUUCAGAAUGUCUCACUGCAAGUUAAUAUUGAGAAGGGAUGAUCCUACUACUCUAGUUAAAACCUUAACAUCCUCACUUGGGUGUGUAGGCUCAUUACUUUCUAGUCACUCAUUCUAGAAACAUUUCAAAGAGAAAGUAUUGGAGGUUAGGAGAAAAAUCAUUGUAACAGAAAUGUUGUAUUUGGACCGCAGUUCUGCCCACUUUGUGGGCAAGGCAAAUCACAUCCCUCCUCUGGCAGAACUGAGAUGUGGCAACUGUAUACUCCAGGCAAGGCUUAAAAAUGUGUCAUUGAGGGGGCAGCUGUGUAGCUCAGUGGAUUGAGAGCCAGGCCUAGAGACGGGAGGUCCUGGGUUCAAAUCUGACCUCAGACACUUCCCAGCUGUGUCACCCUGGGCAAGUCACUUGACUCCCAUUGCCUAGCCCUUACCUCUCUUCUGCCUUGGAGCCAAUACACAGUAUUGAUUCUAAGAUGGAAAAAAAUAAAAUGUGUUAUUGACUGU
This 1049-nucleotide long non-coding RNA is filed under the name Monodelphis domestica (gray short-tailed opossum). Its description in RNAcentral is "lncRNA (ENSMODG00000049566.1)". Lineage: Eukaryota; Metazoa; Chordata; Mammalia; Didelphimorphia; Didelphidae. The record is from RNAcentral.